GGCGCAGUAGUAGAGCGGCUCUGCAUCUGCAUCUUGUUAACAUCUUGUAAGGUACACGUAUGCAGACGUCGCCAGUUCAACUCUGGCCUGGGCCG
Non-coding RNA from Mycena rebaudengoi, 95 nucleotides. The record is from the annotation of a GenBank genome assembly. NCBI's taxonomy places the organism in Eukaryota, Fungi, Basidiomycota, Agaricomycetes, Agaricales, Mycenaceae.